AAUAAUAAAAUCCGAAAUCAUUUUUAAAGAAUGGGUAUAUUUGGUGGGGUUAUUCUACUGAUUUCAUGCUUCAUUAUACUGCGAGAAAGGAGAGAGAGAGAGAGAGUUACCUUGGGGUAGAGAAAAGGCAGCGGCGGGGAUUUAUCCGUGCUGUGGGCAAGACAGCGAAGAGAGAGAUGGCUGCUCUGGGCAGAGAACGGGCAGCGGCGAGGAUUUAUCCGUGCUCUGGGCGAGACAGCGAAGAGAGAGAUGGCUGCUCUGAGAGAGAGCAGAUGGAAGCUAGAGCAGCUGGCGAUGGCGUCUGCAGCGAAAAGUGCGCGUGUGAGAGUGAGGGAGAUGGGAAAAUGAAUGGGGAAGCAGUUUCCA
Molecule: long non-coding RNA, 366 nt
Filed under: Amborella trichopoda
Lineage: Eukaryota; Viridiplantae; Streptophyta; Magnoliopsida; Amborellales; Amborellaceae
Description: long non-coding RNA (ATRI_LNC003390)
Source: RNAcentral